AUAGCUUUAGUUUAAAAAAAUCACAAGUUUGUCGUAUUUGAGAUGCGGUAUCCGCAAGCUAUU
RNAcentral lists this transfer RNA (63 nucleotides) under Capsaloides cristatus. Its description in RNAcentral is "tRNA-Asp". Lineage: Eukaryota; Metazoa; Platyhelminthes; Monogenea; Capsalidea; Capsalidae. The record is from RNAcentral.